RNAcentral lists this ribosomal RNA (2903 nucleotides) under Escherichia coli. Its description in RNAcentral is "bacterial LSU rRNA". It matches the Rfam family "Bacterial large subunit ribosomal RNA". The record is from RNAcentral. Lineage: Bacteria; Pseudomonadati; Pseudomonadota; Gammaproteobacteria; Enterobacterales; Enterobacteriaceae.
UUAAGCGACUAAGCGUACACGGUGGAUGCCCUGGCAGUCAGAGGCGAUGAAGGACGUGCUAAUCUGCGAUAAGCGUCGGUAAGGUGAUAUGAACCGUUAUAACCGGCGAUUUCCGAAUGGGGAAACCCAGUGUGUUUCGACACACUAUCAUUAACUGAAUCCAUAGGUUAAUGAGGCGAACCGGGGGAACUGAAACAUCUAAGUACCCCGAGGAAAAGAAAUCAACCGAGAUUCCCCCAGUAGCGGCGAGCGAACGGGGAGCAGCCCAGAGCCUGAAUCAGUGUGUGUGUUAGUGGAAGCGUCUGGAAAGGCGCGCGAUACAGGGUGACAGCCCCGUACACAAAAAUGCACAUGCUGUGAGCUCGAUGAGUAGGGCGGGACACGUGGUAUCCUGUCUGAAUAUGGGGGGACCAUCCUCCAAGGCUAAAUACUCCUGACUGACCGAUAGUGAACCAGUACCGUGAGGGAAAGGCGAAAAGAACCCCGGCGAGGGGAGUGAAAAAGAACCUGAAACCGUGUACGUACAAGCAGUGGGAGCCUCUUUAUGGGGUGACUGCGUACCUUUUGUAUAAUGGGUCAGCGACUUAUAUUCUGUAGCAAGGUUAACCGAAUAGGGGAGCCGAAGGGAAACCGAGUCUUAACUGGGCGUUAAGUUGCAGGGUAUAGACCCGAAACCCGGUGAUCUAGCCAUGGGCAGGUUGAAGGUUGGGUAACACUAACUGGAGGACCGAACCGACUAAUGUUGAAAAAUUAGCGGAUGACUUGUGGCUGGGGGUGAAAGGCCAAUCAAACCGGGAGAUAGCUGGUUCUCCCCGAAAGCUAUUUAGGUAGCGCCUCGUGAAUUCAUCUCCGGGGGUAGAGCACUGUUUCGGCAAGGGGGUCAUCCCGACUUACCAACCCGAUGCAAACUGCGAAUACCGGAGAAUGUUAUCACGGGAGACACACGGCGGGUGCUAACGUCCGUCGUGAAGAGGGAAACAACCCAGACCGCCAGCUAAGGUCCCAAAGUCAUGGUUAAGUGGGAAACGAUGUGGGAAGGCCCAGACAGCCAGGAUGUUGGCUUAGAAGCAGCCAUCAUUUAAAGAAAGCGUAAUAGCUCACUGGUCGAGUCGGCCUGCGCGGAAGAUGUAACGGGGCUAAACCAUGCACCGAAGCUGCGGCAGCGACACUAUGUGUUGUUGGGUAGGGGAGCGUUCUGUAAGCCUGUGAAGGUGUACUGUGAGGUAUGCUGGAGGUAUCAGAAGUGCGAAUGCUGACAUAAGUAACGAUAAAGCGGGUGAAAAGCCCGCUCGCCGGAAGACCAAGGGUUCCUGUCCAACGUUAAUCGGGGCAGGGUGAGUCGACCCCUAAGGCGAGGCCGAAAGGGCGUAGUCGAUGGGAACAGGUUAAUAUUCCUGUACUUGGUGUUCUGCGAAGGGGGGACGGAGAAGGCUAUGUUGGCCGGGCGACGGUUGUCCCGGUUUAAGCGUGUAGGCUGAUUUUUCCAGGUAAAUCCGGAAAAUCAAAGGCUUGAGGCGUGAUGACGAGGCACUACGGUGCUGAAGCAACAAAUGCCUGCUUCCAGGAAAAGCCUCUAAGCAUCAGGUAACAUCAAAUCGUACCCCAAACCGACACAGGUGUCAGGUAGAGAAUACCAAGGCGCUUGAGAGAACUCGGGUGAAGGAACUAGGCAAAAUGGUGCCGUAACUUCCGGGAGAAGGCACGCUGAUAUGUAGGUGAAGCGACUUGCUCGUGGAGCUGAAAUCAGUCGAAGAUACCAGCUGGCUGCAACUGUUUAUUAAAAACACAGCACUGUGCAAACACGAAAGUGGACGUAUACGGUGUGACGCCUGCCCGGUGCGGAAGGUUAAUUGAUGGGGUUAGCGGUAACGCGAAGCUCUUGAUCGAAGCCCCGGUAAACGGCGGCCGUAACUAUAACGGUCCUAAGGUAGCGAAAUUCCUUGUCGGGUAAGUUCCCGACCUGCACGAAUGGCGUAAUGAUGGCCAGGCUGUCUCCACCCGAGACUCAGUGAAAUUGAACUCGCUGUGAAGAUGCAGUGUACCCGCGGCAAGACGGAAAGACCCCGUGAACCUUUACUAUAGCUUGACACUGAACAUUGAGCCUUGAUGUGUAGGAUAGGUGGGAGGCUUUGAAGUGUGGACGCCAGUCUGCAUGGAGCCGACCUUGAAAUACCACCCUUUAAUGUUUGAUGUUCUAACGUUGACCCGUUAUCCGGGUUGCGGACAGUGUCUGGUGGGUAGUUUGACUGGGGCGGUCUCCUCCUAAAGAGUAACGGAGGAGCACGAAGGUUGGCUAAUCCUGGUCGGACAUCAGGAGGUUAGUGCAAUGGCAUAAGCCAGCUUGACUGCGAGCGUGACGGCGCGAGCAGGUGCGAAAGCAGGUCAUAGUGAUCCGGUGGUUCUGAAUGGAAGGGCCAUCGCUCAACGGAUAAAAGGUACUCCGGGGAUAACAGGCUGAUACCGCCCAAGAGUUCAUAUCGACGGCGGUGUUUGGCACCUCGAUGUCGGCUCAUCACAUCCUGGGGCUGAAGUAGGUCCCAAGGGUAUGGCUUGUUCGCCAUUUAAAGUGGUACGCGAGCUGGGUUUAGAACGUCGUGAGACAGUUCGGUCCCUAUCUGCCGUGGGCGCUGGAGAACUGAGGGGGGCUGCUCCUAGUACGAGAGGACCGGAGUGGACGCAUCACUGGUGUUCGGGUUGUCAUGCCAAUGGCACUGCCCGGUAGCUAAAUGCGGAAGAGAUAAGUGCUGAAAGCAUCUAAGCACGAAACUUGCCCCGAGAUGAGUUCUCCCUGACUCCUUGAGAGUCCUGAAGGAACGUUGAAGACGACGACGUUGAUAGGCCGGGUGGUAAGCGCAGCGAUGCGUUGAGCUAACCGGUACUAAUGAACCGUGAGGCUUAACCUU